CGGGAAAGACAGGUGGGAGUAAGAUGCUGACAUAUGGACUGGAGUGAUGUGGACGCACUACCAAUUUGUGCAAAUCUGCUGAAUGUGAAAGCAAAGCUGUUGAUUUACUGUAGAUCUAAAUUCCUACCCUCACCUAUAGUCACGAGCUCUGGUUACUUACCAAAAGAAACAUAUCAUACAUAGAAGAGGCAGAAAUUAGCUUCCUCCACAAGGUGUCUGGGCUCUGGGAGGUGCAGGUGAAGCAACAGGACUUCACUGCUGCACCUUGUGAACCAACAUGUUGGAUGCUUGCUUUACAUUCCUGGAGACGUGUUGGAGUUCUGGAUGGAUAUGAAAGUCAGGAUUGUGUAAUAUAGAUAGCUGGUGCAAUUCCUACUGGGCUUCACUAUCAGGAGUACAGAUGCUGGUGAACACAAUGCUCAGUGAUGGAGGGACAACCCCUGACAGUGAGCACUGACUGCAUCCCACCUGCCGAGCCAGACGACAGGGAGCAGCCGUGCCAAGGCACCCGGCCAGAGGCUUGCCAGCGGGGGUGCUUGGUCCAGGCUGAGGCAGCUUCUCUGGCUGGAUGUCCACCUGGGUGAUAAGCACCGCAGACUCCACUCACCCUUCAGGGCUCACAGCAGGACGUGGAUACCGAGUCGCUGCUGUUCUGCUCGGUUGAGCCAAAUCCCACAAGCAAGAAGGAGAGGGAAUAAAAUUACAAAUGUAUGUUAAAGAGAUACAGUGUUCCAUAUUCAAACUAUCCCAGGCAAUGUUUGGUGUGUAAAUAUAGCUGCUUUUAGGCCUAAACCAGUAGACCAGUAAACAUCUUCUAACAGAAAUGCUGCAAAAUGCCUCAGUUGUGUGCUUUAAAUAUAUUUUUGUUUAGAGAUGAUAUCAGUUUUCCCUUUCUUUAAAAAAGAAAAUCUUGCAUUAAACCCACUGACUUGAGAAAACUCUCUGGUUUGCUUUGAAGGAUCAAGUUUAAAACCUUCCCAUAUUUUCCAAACAUCCGAUUCGGUUCUAUCUGAACUGUCCGGAUAAAUUUAUAAGACGAGGUUUCUUUUGAACAUCAGCUUCAAAAUAGCUUGAAAACAAAAGUUGCAAACUAUUGUGUGACAUCUAGAUCCUGAUACCUGCAUUCAACAUGUAAAUCAUGUUUAAACCAAGAAUUAUGACAUAAAAAUUAGGAAACUCAUUUUGAAAUUUAAGCAUUUUUGUGUUAAGGUUAUAUAUAUAUAUAUUUUUUUUUAAU
This 1237-nucleotide long non-coding RNA is filed under the name Oreochromis niloticus (Nile tilapia). RNAcentral's name for it is "lncRNA (ENSONIG00000032067.1)". Lineage: Eukaryota; Metazoa; Chordata; Actinopteri; Cichliformes; Cichlidae. The record is from RNAcentral.